UAGGAGCCCGGUACUUGCAGUUACUGCAGAAGCCCCCAGGAAAGCCACCAGCAUGAGUCGUCGCCUGCACUGGGUGGGCUGUGAUCCGCCAUGAUAACAUCGAGAGCCGACGGCCAGUUCUGCCAACGCAGAAAGUGAGUUAAGACGAAACAUCCUGUGGACAAAAAGUAGAAAUGUUACUCCUAACUAGUGACGGCAACAGUGAUGAUGAUGAUGAUGAUGAUGAUGAUGAUGAUGAUGACGACGAUGACGCAGCAGAAGAAGAAGAUAGUAUCAGCAUCACCAACACGCACCACGGACAUGCUCAAUGGCGGACACUAUAUACUCUGCGAUCCCAUGUAGUAUUCCGUUUAAUCCUCAGAACAACUGUCUGAGAAAAAUACUACUUAUGAACCUGGCAUAUGAGUCAAAGUACAAUAAGAAGACAAGAAACCACACAGUAAUUUGAACAGGGAAAGGUGCAUAUCUUGCCAUAUGCCUUGCGGUGACUAAUGGAAUGUGAGUCAGUUCCACAGAGCACUUUCCAGAAGUAUUGCUGUUAGCCUUCUUGUGCCUCUGCAUUCUGUCAAGAGAAGAUCAUGGCCCUGGUAGGCAUGCUCCUUCAACCUGGGCUCCCUAAUGGACCAACCGCAGCCUGAAGCCAGGCACUGGGAAGACCAGCUGAGCCAGUGGAGCACAGCUGACAUAUGGAAUGCUAGUGAGAAAUAAAUGUUUAUGACUGCAAGCCACUAAAA
Long non-coding RNA from Suricata suricatta (meerkat), 734 nucleotides. RefSeq lists it as uncharacterized. Lineage: Eukaryota; Metazoa; Chordata; Mammalia; Carnivora; Herpestidae. The record is from RefSeq and is a predicted model, not a curated record. The transcript has 2 exons.